UCUGUUUACACCAUAUUUCACCGCCUGUCGAUGAUCGACCGAAAGGACACUUGGCUUGCUCCUACACAUGUGGAAGUUAAAAGGACACUUGUCAUGCUCCUACACAUUUGAAGGGAAGUGGGAAGUUAUUUUGACAAGUGGAAGCAAAAGAUUGAAUGAAGACUAGUGGAGAAGUUAGGAAGUUAUUUCCUACGUUUGUUGUUUUCUAUAAAUAGUCUUUUAAGACUUCAUUGUAAUUCCUCUCCAACAAAUCAAAGUCUAUCUUUAUUUGUCUUAA
Long non-coding RNA from Rhododendron vialii, 277 nucleotides. RefSeq lists it as uncharacterized. The record is from RefSeq and is a predicted model, not a curated record. The transcript is spliced from 2 exons. NCBI's taxonomy places the organism in Eukaryota, Viridiplantae, Streptophyta, Magnoliopsida, Ericales, Ericaceae.